CAAUUCUCAGGGUUGCACCUGGAGAGUUUCCAGUACUCUGCCAUUCUCAACUAUGGGAGGAAGAGUCAAGUAGAAGCAUAUCCAUUCCAUUCCUAGCUUGGGCAGUGGCUAGCGGGUGGAAGGCAAUCUGCUACAAGU
This is a non-coding RNA of Ornithorhynchus anatinus (platypus), 138 nucleotides long. Lineage: Eukaryota; Metazoa; Chordata; Mammalia; Monotremata; Ornithorhynchidae. The record is from Rfam.